UUCUGUUACAAUGUUUGUGGAUUACCUUUUGCCUUUGUUUUCUGCUUGUUGCUCUGUUUUUGGAUCAUUGUUUUUUGUGGAUUAAUAAACUGCACUUGGAUCUUAUAUGUUUUUCGACGAGUGAUCCGUGACAGAAUACUGAAGCCAGUAUCAGAUCCAGCAGUUGAGCAGUGUUCUCUGUUUUUCCUUUGAACCAUGGGAAUUCAUAUUCUUCCUCCAGUUACUAGCAAGGAGCGGAUGGCACGAUUUCGGUCCUUGUUGGCUCUGUGCCAGCAGGGGAUGGAGGUUGAGGUUUCUCCCAGUUUUUCUGGACUUUAGUGGUGGGGCUAGAUUACAAUGAUGUGGCGCUCAAGGAUUUUUUUUAAUGGUUGCCUGUAUAAACCUCGGCCCCAGUGUGAGAUGGAAGCACUUCAGACUCUGGAUUAUUGGGGUUUUGUUAACUAUCUCUGUUACCGCAGUUUAGUUACCGCAGUUUGGUAUCACCAGAUCAGUCUGAUCCCAUUGCAGUGCCCCCGGAGAUGCCAAAAUCCGCUGUAACAUCUCCAGAGAACAGUGAAGCUUUCCUAUCUCUGCCCCGUAAACGUAGGGUGAGAAGGAGAACGGCAGUUAAGUCUGCUCCUGUGGUCCCAAAUCUGGUGGUCCUGGUGGACCCGACUACGGUGGUCCUGAAGUUCACUCCAUAACACACUCCAAUCCAAAAGUUCACAGAAUCCACUCCAGAGCCUGCUCCAGUCCGGGAGCCCUCAGAGUCCACUCUAGAAGGCUGGCUGUCCGAGUCCACUCCAGUGCCUACUCUAGUCUAUGAGUUUACUCCCGAUCCCACUCAAGUUUGAGUUCACUCCAGCACUCACUCCAGUCCAGGAGUCCAUUCCUGAGACUGCUUCAGUUCCUCCCCGGGUGGCGAUGUUUGCUGCAGAGCUUCCAGUGGUGGCAGGGGUGUUCAAUUUAGCUCCUCUCAAGACAAGGGUGUCCAUUUAUUAACUCUUUAUUUAUCCUGAUGAGGUGAACUGUCUGUCUACCCUGUUACGUUCAAGGAGACCAUUGCUGAGCUGUUUGUCUGUCCUUUGCGGCCAUCAAGUCUGUUACCUCUAAGCUCUCUAUUGAAGUCCUGCCUGAGCUGCUAGGGGGGGUCAUCUGCUUUGUCAGCUCUGCUGAGGUGGUCUUCAGCUCCACCCCUGCUGCCUGACAAGCUCCUGGCUCCACCUUGGUCGCCCGCCAGGGUUUCUGUUUUGCCAGAGCAUCGCUGGUUCGUCCUGCCAGGCCCGCCCUGGCCUCCUGCACUGUCCUGGCCUUCUGUUCUAACACGGGCCUAGCCCGCCAUCCCUCCCCCUGAUCCACCUCCGUUCUGCCUCCCUCCUGGAUUUCUUUGACUUUAUUUGGAGUGUCUGGAAUCUGCUCCUUAAAGCGGGGGUCAUGUCACAGCCAUCUGCUGGAGUGCCCUUGCCAGUCAUCAGAGGGCACUCUUCUGGACUGUUGUUUGUGUUCCCGACUUCAGUUCCCAUCACCCCUUGCACUUAGUUCUCAUGUGUGUCAUUUAGUCUCAUUAGUUCCCCUAUAUAUACACCAUGUUCUGUUAGCCCUUGUUUGCUUCAGUAUUGUUUUGUUACGCUGUUUGUGGAUUACCUUUUGCCUUUGUUUUCUGCUUGUUGCUCUGUUUUUCGAUCUUUGUUUUUUCUGUGGAUUAAUA
Long non-coding RNA from Cyprinus carpio carpio, 1687 nucleotides. Lineage: Eukaryota; Metazoa; Chordata; Actinopteri; Cypriniformes; Cyprinidae. The record is from Ensembl.